GACAGAGGAUGCAAGCGUUAUCCGGAAUGAUUGGGCGUAAAGCGUCUGUAGGUGGCUUUUUAAGUCCGCCGUCAAAUCCCAGGGCUCAACCCUGGACAGGCGGUGGAAACUACCAAGCUGGAGUACGGUAGGGGCAGAGGGAAUUCCCGGUGUAGCGGUGGAAUGCGUAGAGAUCGGGAAGAACAUCAGUGGCGAAGGCGGCCUGCUGGGCUGUUGCUGACGCUGAGGCGCGACAGCGUGGGGAGCAAACAGG
This 253-nucleotide ribosomal RNA is filed under the name uncultured bacterium. RNAcentral describes it as "partial 16S ribosomal RNA". It matches the Rfam family "Bacterial small subunit ribosomal RNA", at positions 524 to 776 of the family's 1533-position model. The record is from RNAcentral.